ACAUGACCAGUGUAUGCAUCCAUCUCCAUCCAAGAUUCUUGAACUCAGGUGGGGUUAUCGAUUUCUUUUCACAGGGCUACUGGUUAAAGCAGAAUUGACAUGUUUUCACCACUCCCUUUCAGGUCACCAGAGGGUGCAGAUAGGAGAUGGUAACACGCAUUUUCCAUCCCACCCAGAUGGCCCAGCAAAGGCUUGCCAUGAGACUUCAGUUUUGGAUAAGUUCUGGGAGUUGAGGGUCAGGAACUCGACGUGUAUUUUUAUUACCAUGCAUUGAAAUCCUGCCCACGUGAACAUGACAAACCCUGCCACACUGGGGUUUAUUCUGAGUAUCACUAGAGGUCCCUAGGUGCACCACCAUUCCUGCAAGCUCAGGCAGGAAUGGCUCUCAGAGCCAAAGCUCUGUAUGAUUGCUUCUUCCCAUGCCCCAGGACAAUGUGAGAAAUUGCUUUCUGCAUACUGUACAUGUGUCACAGCUAGUAUCUCUUGAGCCCUGGUGCUAGGAGCUGUAGACUGAGGUUUAUUGGCUUUGCCUGAACUGCCAACACCAGAACAAGGUCCAAGGCGAACUUCAAAAUGUUUUCAGCCAUAAGAUUAGUUGGGGUCUUCUUGUCUGUUGUUAACUAAUAUUACAAGUGCCAGUUAGUAUUACAGCUAUUUUGCAGAUGAGAAAUCAUCGGGAGAGAGAUUAAGUGACAAAACAUAUGUACUUGAAGAGACUCGUGGCCUCAACUAGAACUCAGCUCUUAUGUCUUGUAGGACAGUCAUGUCACCAUUAGAACAUGUAAUCUAACCUUCUUGGAAAAAAAUGAAAUGUGAGCCUCCCUUUGAACCAGCUUGACUUUGAGCUCCCUCAUGAAACACCAACGACCUUUGAAAGAACACGGGGAUGGCACCAUAGACAGAUUUUCCCUCAGCUGACUGCAAAUAAAGUUAUUUGAAAUAACUGCCAAAGCUGUAAUUUACCAGGCUUUUUCACGGAUUCCACAAAAGCAAGGAAAUUCAAAGUUGAAAGGCUUUCUCCAGGCAGAACACGCCAGGCAUUUGUGCAUGAAUUGCAGGAGGAGACACGAUAUGUUUCUUUCAGAGCUGUUGUUGCCAUCAUGGAAAGCGAACAAGCAUCUGUGCUUCGGAAAUCAGUGGAUGGAAGGUGUUCCGUGAAAGGCAGCAUGUGGGAAAGCAGCUUAAAAUGGUUCACUUUCAUAUAUUGAGCUUUGGUUCCCAGACCGGCACUACUGUCCACCUGGUAGCAAGGCAGUGAGUCGGCACAGAGGGACUCUCCCAAAUCACAUCAUAUUCUGUGAUCUUAAGGGAUACUGAGAUGAAAAAAAAUCCAUAGAAAAUCUACAGAUUUGUGGGGUAUGGAGUUUAGCAACGGGCAUGUAGAUUACUCAGCUCCAAAUCGUUGCUGUUUUGAGAGCCUCUGUCCAAAUUCCCCUGAGUGGGAUUCCGCCUGUCAGAGGAGAUGGCCUAAGAGACUGUCUUACAAUUGAAAUUGGGUUGGGAGGUGAAAAAACAGUGACUCUGCGAAGGAGGGGUGUGAUCAGCUGCGCACAUGUCUGCCCCUGCUCAUACUCAGCUUGCUGAAAUGCAACGACUUCAAUUGAUUUUGCUAUUUUUGCAGCGCUGACUGAUGAGCCAGUGAAGAGGGAACUGUGUUCUGUGAGAGAGCGGCACGGGAGGGGCAUGUCCCAUGGCCUGUGUUGCACUGCUCAGAGCUACCCGGAGCUUUGGCUUCUCCUCUGAGCUGUGCACCGACGAGCUACUGUAUCACUGUGCUUGCUGUGCAAAGGAUAACACACCCCUACUCUGUCAAAGGAUCCCCAUGUAUCACAUCCACAUUUAUUUGUUUAAAAAAAAAAAAGUUAUGUGUUUGUUAUUUAUUAACCAGCAACGUAUCAUGUUCUGAUGUUGACUACCUCUCCAGGCAUAUUUAGGCUUAAAAACUAAUACCUUUUAGUGUCAAAUUCUGUGCAAGGGACAUGACUCCUACUGAAACCAACUGAUGCUAAAUAAUGGUGUUUUUUCAGCAUCUAACUAUGGGAUCAAUAAGGCCUUCAUCCUUGUCGGUAGUCUGUCAGCUGGUAGGAAGACAGGCAGCCUUGUAGACAAGACACAGACAUGGAGGUCAAGAGAAGUGGAUUCUUUUCUCAGUUUGCCUUAGGGCUUUUGCAAAGCCUUGGACAAAUCACACAACCUCUCCCAUUAAACCUCCUGACUUCCAAAAUGGAAAUGAUCAUAACUGUCUGCUUCCCAAGGAUGCUAUGGAGUAAAUCAAUUCACAGAGAGAGGGGGAGGGAGGGGAAGGAGGUGUAUGGGAUCAGCAACUACCUGGAUGCUUUGGAAAGAACAGACAUACUUCUGUUAGUUUUCAUUUUUGUAAACAGCCUUAGAGUGCACCUAAGUAUUAACAUAUUAAAAAAUUAAGCAACAGCUAGGGGAUUUGGUUACAUAGGCAGGGUAUAGUUAAUAUAAUAUAAUAACAUUGCUAGUCUCAUUCUCCUAUGGACAUCAUUUAUUUUGGAUAAGGCCAGGGUUACUACAAAAGAUUGAAAGAUCAAAUAUUCCCAAUGAAAUGAGAGUGCUUUGCAAUUGUUUUAGUUUAGAUGGUAGUCAGAAAAAUAUUUCCACAUUUCAUUUGCUAGAAAAGCUAUCUAGAGCUGGCAUUAGUAGUGGCUUUGAUGUAUUCUCUGAUACAUGGGUCCAGAGCAUGCUGAUGUAAACAGAAGUGGUUUUGACCUGUUAUCUUUGUUCUUUAACCUUGAUAUUUGCCCCCUUCAAUGGCUUCUUUCUCCUCCUGGGGAGGCUUUAAAAAGUCAAUUGAUAGAGGAAAAAAAGAGUUUCAGUUUUUGCUCUGUGUUAAGACCCUAAAGAAAUAGACACAUCUAUUGUACAGUCACUGAAGCUCUUGAAAUAGUGUGGGUUUUUCUCUUGAAUCCUGCAGGGAAAUGAGCAAAGAAGGAAAGGGGAAAAAAAAAAAAAAAAGCAUUCAGUUUUGUCCACAACUACAGUAAGUACAUCAUACUUUUGAUACUUUUGCUCCUGAUGGGUUUUUUUUGAGAGAAAAACUGAGAAACUCAGCUUCAGAAACAGGCAGUGGAAACAGUAAUGCCUAUGGGUAAGUUGGUCCAGCAUUGUCCAUUAUACAACCUUACUUUUGAUGCCUGUACCUGUCAAAUAUUAGCUAAUUUGUAAUGACUCUUUUUCUGUGAUUGGUGUGUCAGCCUGAAGCUAAUUCUUAAAAUAGUUCAGUCAGUUUGCAAAAUGAGGUUGGCAAAAAAAUACAUUUUGCUUCCCUUAAAAAAAUAUUGUUGGGUUGCAUGACUGAGAAACUCUCCAUGUUCUAUACCUGCAGUUUGGCAAAGGAUUUGCCAAGGAUUUGAUGGGCCCCACCCAUAAACAUGUACGAUAAGAAGAGCCCAUUAUUAGGAUGCAGGUUGUGCAGACAAGAGGAUGAGUGGAACUUAAUAAAGAGCCUGUGAUAAGAAUGAAAGAGUAGUAGCCUGUAGGGAUGGUGUGUGGGACUGAGGCAGAGAUGUGAGGAUGCUGGGAGAAAGAAACCAUGAGCAAGGACCAGGACUUAAAAAUGAACUCCUGAAGUAAGACUCUUAGGUUGUUAAGAAAGGGAAAAGGAUGGAGUGAUUGGGCUGAGAGUGAGAGACAGAAAGUCCCUGGGUA
This is a long non-coding RNA of Myiozetetes cayanensis, 3675 nucleotides long. RefSeq lists it as uncharacterized. The record is from RefSeq and is a predicted model, not a curated record. The transcript has 4 exons. Lineage: Eukaryota; Metazoa; Chordata; Aves; Passeriformes; Tyrannidae.